Molecule: ribosomal RNA, 253 nt
Filed under: uncultured bacterium
Lineage: Bacteria
Description: partial 16S ribosomal RNA
Rfam family: Bacterial small subunit ribosomal RNA
Source: RNAcentral
GACGUAGGAGGCGAGCGUUAUCCGGAUUCACUGGGCGUAAAGCGCAUGUAGGCGGAUGUCCAAGUCGCGUGUUAAAGCCCCUGGCUCAACUGGGGGAGGUCAUGCGAGACUGGGGGUCUUGAGGGCAACAGAGGCACGUGGAACUCCCGGCGUAGCGGUGGAAUGCGUAGAGAUCGGGAAGAACACCCGUGGCGAAGGCGACGUGCUGGGUUGCACCUGACGCUGAGAUGCGAAAGUGUGGGGAGCAAACGGG